Rosa rugosa (rugosa rose) is the source of this 3270-nucleotide long non-coding RNA. RefSeq lists it as uncharacterized. NCBI's taxonomy places the organism in Eukaryota, Viridiplantae, Streptophyta, Magnoliopsida, Rosales, Rosaceae. The record is from RefSeq and is a predicted model, not a curated record. The transcript is spliced from 16 exons.
GUUGGAGCUUAGUCAAGCAGCCAAGCAUUGUUCGAGUGUCUGGACUGUAUUAGAGAAUUUAGAGUAUUGGGAAGCUAGGCAAAGUUGUGAAAACAAGCUGUUGGGAGAAAGUUUGUCCUGGAAUUGUUUCUUUGGUGUACCGAGGGCGGCUAGAUUCUACUCCUUCUGAUUUGAACUUAUAUUUUCAUUGUUCGUCCUGUGACAAUAAGCUAGGGAAAGACUUGAAUCUAUGGAGAAAAUUACACCAGGAUACAUAUACAGCUCACAUUGAAGCUUGAAGCAUUUAGAUUGGUAUUGGCGUUAUAAAGCUUAUGGGAUGCUACUCUGAAGAUAAAUGUGGAGCACAGAUUGAAAGCUUGAAGCAUAGAAUUGCCUUGGAGUUGCAAAACUGAUGGGAUGCUACUUUGGUGGGCUGCUCAAGUCGAGUAGCUGAGGCACCAAUCACACUACCACCCGACAAGGUGUGGAAUGAUCAUGAUGUAGAGAUUAAAGAAGGUUAAGAAACCUUGAUUACUCUUCUUUCCCUCAUUCACCAGGAGAUUCCCUUUUGCAGAGGAUGGGGAAAAUGAGCAUCCUAUUAAUAUGAUUGGAAUCCCAGCUCAACAACUUCCCUUUGUCUUGAAAAUCAAGUCAUGCCUUUCUGAGUUGACAAUUUCUUACUGCAACAAGCUCAAGCACUGCCGAACUUCGUGUGUAAGACACCACUACAGAAAUUUCUCAUCGAAGGAUCUCCAAUUCUCCAAGACCUUUACAGACAUGGAGUGGGCCAAGGUUUCACUCACAUCACAAGCAUCAAGAUAUAGUCAAAUCUGAUGAUGCAUCUUUCGAUGAAGAUGAUUAAUCAAGAUGACUGAUAAGUGAAAAGAUUUCAGACCUCAGCUUCUCUUGGAACAAGCACAUUUUUAAAAGGAGAGAUUUGUCUAAUGUCCAUUUUUUCAAACUGGGAGGCAUGGCUUCAACACUGAUUUCCAAUGGAUGUCAUCAUUGGAGGGCAGAAGAGAAACAUGAGGCAUUGUCUUCCCCUAGCCUUCAAAUACAUCAGUGAUUAGUUGAGCAUGUUCUCGCAGAGUUGUAGCAUUGACCGAACCCUUGAGGGUAUUGAAGAUGUCAAAGAUUCGAAGAUCUUACUGGUUGGUUAUAAAUGUGCUUCCUCAGAUGCUCAGCUCCGUAUCAAUUUUAGUAGUUAUUACUUCUUCAGCUUGAUUUCUUCAAAAUACAGCAAAUGAUGAUUCAUGGCCAUGUGAAUAGCUGAAUGGAUUGCUGGACUUCCCAAACAAAUUGAUCCUCACCCCUAAGAUGAGAAGUAGACCAGGCUACUUGUACUGCUCAUAUUGAAGCUUGAUGCAUUCAGAAUGGCAUCAGACUAUCAGAGUUUGAAAAUCUUUUGGUUCAUCACAUGGACCGAGGAUGAAGCUGAGUCAAGAGCAUCUCUUCCGAGCCUCUAGACUUUAAUUGUAACAAUGACCUGACAUUGGAGAAGUUAGACUCGGGAUUGUUCCUUUGGUCUAACUAGAUCCUGCUAGCUUGCGUGUCCUUCUGCUGAUUUAACUUCUAGUAGGAGAUUUUCUUUUGCAGAGGAUGGGGCAAAUGACCAUGCAUCCAAAACAUGAUCGGAAGUCAAGCUGAACUUCUAAACAGGAAAUGAUGAUUCAUAUAUGGUCAUGUAAAAGCUGAAAGCAUUGCUGAACUUCCCUAGACAAGAUGAUUUCCAUGCCUUAGAUGAGAAUAGCACCAGGCUGCUCAUACUGCUCAUACUGAAACUUGACGCAUUCAGAAUCGCAUCAAGGUUGUCAAGUUGAUGGGACGCUAAUCUGAUCUCCAGAGGAUGGAGCUUAGCCAAGCAGCUGCGCAGCUCUUCGAGUGUCUGGACUUGAUUAGAGUUGUUUGGUAACUAUGCAAGGCUAUAACAAUGAGAUGUAAUGGGAGAAAGUUGUUCUCGGGAUUGUUUCUUUGGUGUACCUAGGUUCUGCUAGCUUAUGUCCCCUUCUGCUGAUUUUUAUUGGAGCAUAUAUAGGAGGUCACAAAAAGCACCAGGUGUGCCUGUUCUUGAAGCUUUGACGGAACCCAUGUAUCAAGUAUUCUUCAUAGUUGGUAGUCAUGCACUGCAUAUCGAAGAUCUUCCUGGUUGGUACUUUAAAAGGAAACAUACGAAGCUGACCAUCACCAACUCAAAAAUUCAUCAAACAACUUCGAGCUCUUGUUGUCAAACUUCUCUUUCAGUUGAGGGAUUUAUUCCAGCUCAUGUUGAUACUAAGCUUCGGAGGAAAAUGACUACAUGACACCCAAUUCUCUUUUUGCCACUGCUGACAAAACAUUCGUUGUGAGGGAUCAAAGAGAACAGAAUGUGGUUCAUGAAUCUAAUGGCAAUGAAGAGUUUGGAGAGAGUCGGCCCCCUGCUAAUGACUUGGAUGAAAUUCAAGAGGAGUUGUUGGUUUAUCAAAAUGUUGUCUCAGAGGCUCAAACCGCAUGCAGCGUCAAUGUUGAGCCACAAAAGGGUUAAGAAAUUCAGAUUUCGGAACAAGCUGUUGAGCACACCGUUAACCCCUGAGGAACAGCAGAAUGAGACAUCAAUGAGUCCUGUGAUUGAACAAGACCAAGGGAGUUCCGAUGAAGCAGCCACAAUUUUCAGUCGCCAAGUAAACAAAGUGCUGGAACAAGUUAGUCCUUCUGGUGUUGUGAUUUUAGAGGAUCAGGUUGAAGGAACUCCAGGGGAUGGAGACAAUCAACCUAGCCGAAAUGUGUUUGUACCAACCAUCUCGGUAACUCCAUCCCCAACCAUCUCAAUCUCUCAACUUGAGACCUCAAGUGAACAUGACAAUUUCCAAGCUGCCAUAAACCAAGUUGUUACUUCAAUUGACGGCGCCACGAAUUCAAUUGACAUUACUCCUGGCAGCAAAGAGACUAGGACUGUUUCUUCACCAGCAAAUAGAAAGUUCCAAUCUGUUUUGGUCUCUAUUGAUCGUUCAUACCAUCCAAAACCUCCAGAGAUCUGAACGUCAGAUCCCAGGGCUCAAAAGCCAACUUCAGAGAUCUGAACGCGAGGUGGAUGACCUCAAUCACAGUAUAGACCAAGCCCUUGAGUACGAAGAAAGCAUUGAGGAUGCCAACCUCCAAAAGCAGAUGGUUUUUCCACUUUUUCGCCAGAUAGAGACCUCUUGCAUUUGGUCCUUGACUUGCUUUCAAAAGUUGCAAACAAAAUGAAAAUUGUAGUAUUUCUAAUGGGAUUGGAGCAUGUCCGUUGUUUUUGUUUUACAAUUUGCUCUUCAUGAA